This 506-nucleotide ribosomal RNA is filed under the name uncultured Glomeromycotina. Its description in RNAcentral is "partial small subunit ribosomal RNA". It matches the Rfam family "Eukaryotic small subunit ribosomal RNA", at positions 591 to 1092 of the family's 1831-position model. The record is from RNAcentral. Lineage: Eukaryota; Fungi; Glomeromycota.
CCAAUAGCGUAUAUUAAAGUUGUUGCAGUUAAAAAGCUCGUAGUUGAAUUUCGGGAUUGACACAUCGGUCGUGCCUUAAGGGGUAUGAACUGGUGUAGUCAAUUUCUCACCUUCUGGAGAACCGCGAUGCCCUUAAUUGGGUGUCGCGGGGAACCAGGACCUUUACUUUGAAAAAAUUAGAGUGUUUAAAGCAGGCAUUUUGCUUGAAUACAUUAGCAUGGAAUAAUAAAAUAGGACGGCAUGAUUCUAUUUUGUUGGUUUCUAGGAUCACCGUAAUGAUUAAUAGGGAUAGUUGGGGGCAUUAGUAUUCAAUUGUCAGAGGUGAAAUUCUUGGAUUUAUUGAAGACUAACUACUGCGAAAGCAUUUGCCAAGGAUGUUUUCAUUAAUCAAGAACGAAAGUUAGGGGAUCGAAGACGAUCAGAUACCGUCGUAGUCUUAACCAUAAACUAUGCCGACUAGGAAUCAGACGAUGUUAAUUUUUUAAUGACUCGUUUGGCGCCUUACG